This 767-nucleotide ribosomal RNA is filed under the name Salmonella enterica. RNAcentral's name for it is "partial 23S ribosomal RNA". It matches the Rfam family "Bacterial large subunit ribosomal RNA", at positions 2036 to 2802 of the family's 2925-position model. The record is from RNAcentral. Lineage: Bacteria; Pseudomonadati; Pseudomonadota; Gammaproteobacteria; Enterobacterales; Enterobacteriaceae.
GUGAAAUUGAACUCGCUGUGAAGAUGCAGUGUACCCGCGGCAAGACGGAAAGACCCCGUGAACCUUUACUAUAGCUUGACACUGAACAUUGAGCCUUGAUGUGUAGGAUAGGUGGGAGGCUUUGAAGCGUGGACGCCAGUCUGCGUGGAGCCGACCUUGAAAUACCACCCUUUAAUGUUUGAUGUUCUAACGUGGACCCGUAAUCCGGGUUGCGGACAGUGUCUGGUGGGUAGUUUGACUGGGGCGGUCUCCUCCUAAAGAGUAACGGAGGAGCACGAAGGUUGGCUAAUCCUGGUCGGACAUCAGGAGGUUAGUGCAAUGGCAUAAGCCAGCUUGACUGCGAGCGUGACGGCGCGAGCAGGUGCGAAAGCAGGUCAUAGUGAUCCGGUGGUUCUGAAUGGAAGGGCCAUCGCUCAACGGAUAAAAGGUACUCCGGGGAUAACAGGCUGAUACCGCCCAAGAGUUCAUAUCGACGGCGGUGUUUGGCACCUCGAUGUCGGCUCAUCACAUCCUGGGGCUGAAGUAGGUCCCAAGGGUAUGGCUGUUCGCCAUUUAAAGUGGUACGCGAGCUGGGUUUAGAACGUCGUGAGACAGUUCGGUCCCUAUCUGCCGUGGGCGCUGGAGAACUGAGGGGGGCUGCUCCUAGUACGAGAGGACCGGAGUGGACGCAUCACUGGUGUUCGGGUUGUCAUGCCAAUGGCACUGCCCGGUAGCUAAAUGCGGAAGAGAUAAGUGCUGAAAGCAUCUAAGCACGAAACUUGCCCCGA